RNAcentral lists this ribosomal RNA (460 nucleotides) under uncultured bacterium. Its description in RNAcentral is "partial 16S ribosomal RNA". It matches the Rfam family "Bacterial small subunit ribosomal RNA", at positions 338 to 795 of the family's 1533-position model. The record is from RNAcentral.
CCUACGGGAGACAGCAGUGAGGAAUAUUGGUCAAUGGACGCAAGUCUGAACCAGCCAUGCCGCGUGCAGGAAGACGGCCCUAUGAGUUGUAAACUGCUUUUGUACGAGGGUAAACGCAGGUACGCGUAUCUGUCUGAAAGUACUGUAUGAAUAAGGAUCGGCUAACUCCGAGCCAGCAGCCGCGGGAAUACGGAGUACUCGAGCGUUAUCCGGAUUUAUUGGGUUUAAAGGGGGCGUAGGCGGUUGGGUAAGUUAGAGGUGAAAGCCCGAGGCUCAACUUCGGAAUUGCCUCUGGUACUGUUCGGCUAGAGUGCAGUUGCGGUAGGCGGAAUGUAUGGUGUAGCGGUGAAAUGCUUAGAGAUCAUGCAGAACACCGAUUGCGAAGGCAGCUUACCAAGCUGCGACUGACGUUGAGGCACGAAAGCGUGGGGAGCAAACAGGAUUAGAUACCCUAGUAGUC